RNAcentral lists this ribosomal RNA (460 nucleotides) under uncultured bacterium. RNAcentral's name for it is "partial 16S ribosomal RNA". It matches the Rfam family "Bacterial small subunit ribosomal RNA", at positions 338 to 795 of the family's 1533-position model. The record is from RNAcentral.
CCUACGGGCGGCAGCAGUGAGGAAUAUUGGUCAAUGGGCGCGAGCCUGAACCAGCCAAGUAGCGUGAAGGAUGACUGCCCUACGGGUUGUAAACUUCUUUUAUAAAGGAAUAAAGUGAGGCACGUGUGCCUUUUUGUAUGUACUAUAUGAAUAAGGAUCGGCUAACUCCGUGCCAGCAGCCGCGGUAAUACGGAGGAUGCGAGCGUUAUCCGGAUUUAUUGGGUUUAAAGGGUGCGUAGAUGGGUUGUUAAGUCAGUGGUGAAAGUUUGCGGCUCAACCAUAAAAUUGCCGUUGAUACUGGUCGUCUUGAGUACAUUUGAGGUAGGCGGAAUGCGUGGUGUAGCGGUGAAAUGCUUAGAUAUCACGCAGAACUCCGAUUGCGAAGGCAGCUUACUAAACUGUCACUGACAUUGAUGCUCGAAAGUGUGGGGAUCAAACAGGAUUAGAUACCCUAGUAGUC